Molecule: long non-coding RNA, 460 nt
Organism: Solanum pennellii
Lineage: Eukaryota; Viridiplantae; Streptophyta; Magnoliopsida; Solanales; Solanaceae
Exons: 2
Source: RefSeq, a predicted model, not a curated record
UCUCCACAACUACACACCUCUCACAUUUCUUUUUUUUUUUUUUGGUUACAAAAAAAAAUGAAAAAUCAAUUUCAAGAAUUAAACUUUAGGGAAUUUAUGGAUGUGUUAACAAAGCAAGAACAAUAUUUUUUUCAGAAAAAAGCAGCUGAGAAUAAAAAUGAGAAAUCAUAUAUUAAUGAAAUUUUUGGUGAGCUUUAUUUUGAAGAAAAUAAUGGUGAGUCAUCCAUAGAACACAUUUUUCCUCCAAUGCCAAAAAAAAAUUCUAGUGAAAAUAAUGCUAAUAAAGGUAAAGGAGGAAAAAAAUCAAAUGAUGCUAAGAAGGAAGAUGUUAGCUAAUGUUAUUAGUGUGAUGCAUGUUUGUAUCUUGUCUUCAUUAUUAAGCUAAAUAAACAUCAUCGAUAUAUCUUGUUGACAAGUCGUUUAAUUAUUUUUAUCUGAUUUAAAGAUCUAUAUUUAGUUA